Vicia faba (fava bean) is the source of this 189-nucleotide non-coding RNA. Lineage: Eukaryota; Viridiplantae; Streptophyta; Magnoliopsida; Fabales; Fabaceae. The record is from the annotation of a GenBank genome assembly.
AUGAAUUCAGUUUUUUGGUUUUUUUGGUACUGUUAUUUUUUUUUGUGUGUGUAUAUAUAUAUAUAUAUAUAUAAUGUUUUUUUGUCCGCCAUGUUUACGCAAUUUUCCGCUCCGCCAUCCGCCAUAAUUUUGGUUCGCCACUAUUCUCCGCAAUCUGCCAUAGACAAUACUGGCCUUGUCGACCCGUAG